This 468-nucleotide ribosomal RNA is filed under the name uncultured bacterium. RNAcentral's name for it is "partial 16S ribosomal RNA". It matches the Rfam family "Bacterial small subunit ribosomal RNA", at positions 28 to 507 of the family's 1533-position model. The record is from RNAcentral.
GACGAACGCUGGCGGCGUGCUUAACACAUGCAAGUCGAACGGAAAGGCCCUGCUUUUGUGGGGUGCUCGAGUGGCGAACGGGUGAGUAACACGUGAGUAACCUGCCCUUGACUUUGGGAUAACUUCAGGAAACUGGGGCUCAUACCGGAUAGGAGCUCCUGCUGCAUGGUGGGGGUUGGAAAGUUUCGGCGGUUGGGGAUGGACUCGCGGCUUAUCAGCUUGUUGGUGGGGUAGUGUCUUACCAAGGCUUUGACGGGUAGCCGGCCUGGGAGGGUGACCGGCCACAUUGGGACUGGGAUGCGGCCCAGACUCCUACGGGAGGCAGAAGUGGAGAAUAUUGCACAAUGGGAGGAAGCCUGAUGCAGCAACGCCGCGUGGGGGAUGAGGGCCUUCGGGUUGUAAACCGCUUUCGCUUGUGACGAAGCGUGAGUGACGGUAAUGGGUAAAGAAGCACCGGCUAACUACGUG